ACUGAGUCUCGUAAUUCCUCCAUUGCAGACAACGUCACGGCGUUCUGUGAAGAAUGUGCUCUACUGCUAUAUUUUAAAAAUAUAUUUAUACUAUUAUUACCAGUCACCUUGUUUCAAUUAACGUUUCCUUCUUAUGUAUAUUUCAAACGAAUUUCAGGCAAACGUGGACAGAAGAGCAGCAGUGCGAUGUUCAGUGAAUAUUUGAAAGGAUGGUUCAUCUAUUUUGUUGCAACAUGGGCGUUCCUAGAGACUUUCCUCCUGGCCGGAUAUAGAGUAGGCUGGGCCAUUCUUGUCUACGUACUCAAGAUGGAAGGGAUCUACAGCUCUCUGUGCCAUGUUAACAACACAACACUAGUAUAUGCUAGCAUAACAUACAGCAGUGAAUUGUCUGUUAUGAAUAACACUACCCGGGAACAAUAUGACGAAUCUUGUAACUCUAGCUCUGAACGUCCUAUGACCUCCUCUCAACGUUCUACGGAAGACGAAGACAUUGGAUGCCCUGAGCAGGACGACAUGUUUGAGUUGUGCGUUACCAUUUACAGCAUUACAUCAACUUUCGUUGCCCUGGUCACGGGUCAUAUGAAUUUUUUAUAUGGAAUCAGGACCACAAGAUUGUUUUCCAUAUAUGCUGUUGCUACUUGGGCAUUCCUUGAAACUUUCCUCCUGUCCGGUUAUUACGCAGGCUGGGCCUCACUGGUCUACAUCUUCAAGAAGGAAGGAAUGUUCGCUUUUCUGUGCCAUAGCACAUCACAGAGAUAUACCAACAACACAACAUCAUCAUACGCUGACAUCACGCAUGGAAGAGACUUGGAUUUUACACAAGAAUAUAAGGUGUCAUUGAACCUUACCCCUGAACGUCCCCUGAACAUGGAGGAUGAAGACACUGGAUGCUCUGAUCAAGAUGCCAUAUUUGAGUUGUGUGUUACCAUUUGCAGCAUUGUAUUAACUGUCGUUUCCCUGGUCAUGGCUCAUAUAAAUUUUGUAUAUGGAAU
Molecule: long non-coding RNA, 992 nt
Organism: Haliotis rubra (blacklip abalone)
Lineage: Eukaryota; Metazoa; Mollusca; Gastropoda; Lepetellida; Haliotidae
Exons: 3
Source: RefSeq, a predicted model, not a curated record